AAGACUGCCUUUGGAAAAAGAAUUCAUGAUUUAGCUAGCAAGCAGUACGUCCUGAGUAGGGGCAUUGCAAUUUUCUCACACCCCUGCCACCAUAGUGCUUCAAAUUUGUCCUGGAGAGAGCACAUCUUGGGUUGAGAAAGUAGCUCUGUCUCCAUGCUUGUUCAGUCCUUGGCCUCU
RNAcentral lists this small RNA (177 nucleotides) under Chrysemys picta bellii (western painted turtle). RNAcentral describes it as "TUC338 (ENSCPBG00000008936.1)". Lineage: Eukaryota; Metazoa; Chordata; Testudines; Emydidae. The record is from RNAcentral.